UAAAGAAUUUCGGUCAUCGAUGGGGAUGCGUUCCAUUAGCUUGUUGGCGGGGUAACGGCCCACCAAGGCAUCGAUGGAUAGGGGUUCUGAGAGGAAGGUCCCCCACAUUGGAACUGAGACACGGUCCAAACUCCUACGGGAGGCAGCAGUGAGGAAUAUUGGUCAAUGGGCGCUAGCCUGAACCAGCCAAGUAGCGUGAAGGAUGACUGCCCUAUGGGUUGUAAACUUCUUUUAUAUGGGAAUAAAGUGCAGUAUGUAUACUGCUUUGCAUGUACCUUAUGAAUAAGGAUCGGCUAACUCCGUGCCAGCAGCCGCGGUAAUACGGAGGAUCCGAGCGUUAUCCGGAUUUAUUGGGUUUAAAGGGAGCGUAGGCGGGUUGUUAAGUCAGUUGUGAAAGUUUGCGGCUCAACCGUAAAAUUGCAGUUGAUACUGGCAUCCUUGAGUACAGUAGAGGUAGGCGGAAUUCGUGGUGUAGCGGUGAAAUGCUUAGAUAUCACGAAGAACUCCGAUUGCGAAGGCAGCCUGCUGGACUGUAACUGACGCUGAUGCUCGAAAGUGUGGGUAUCAAACAGGAUUAGAUACCCUGGUAGUCCACACAGUAAACGAUGAAUACUCGCUGUUUGCGAUAUAAGUAA
RNAcentral lists this ribosomal RNA (635 nucleotides) under uncultured bacterium. RNAcentral describes it as "bacterial SSU rRNA". It matches the Rfam family "Bacterial small subunit ribosomal RNA", at positions 202 to 836 of the family's 1533-position model. The record is from RNAcentral.